GACGAACGCUGGCGGCGUGCUUAACACAUGCAAGUCGAACGGAAAGGCCCUGCUUUUGUGGGGUGCUCGAGUGGCGAACGGGUGAGUAACACGUGAGUAACCUGCCCUUGACUUUGGGAUAACUUCAGGAAACUGGGGCUAAUACCGGAUAGGAGCUCCUGCUGCAUGGUGGGGGUUGGAAAGUUUCGGCGGUUGGGGAUGGACUCGCGGCUUAUCAGCUUGUUGGUGGGGUAGUGGCUUACCAAGGCUUUGACGGGUAGCCGGCCUGAGAGGGUGACCGGCCACAUUGGGACUGAGAUACGGCCCAGAAUCCUACGGGAGGCAGCAGUGGGGAAUAUUGCACAAUGGGCGGAAGCCUGAUGCAGCAACGCCGCGUGCGGGAUAACGGCCUUCGGGUUGUAAACCGCUUUCGCCUGUGACGAAGCGUGAGUGACGGUAAUGGGUAAAGAAGCACCGGCUAACUACGUG
RNAcentral lists this ribosomal RNA (468 nucleotides) under uncultured bacterium. RNAcentral describes it as "partial 16S ribosomal RNA". It matches the Rfam family "Bacterial small subunit ribosomal RNA", at positions 28 to 507 of the family's 1533-position model. The record is from RNAcentral.